CCAAUAGCGUAUAUUAAAGUUGUUGCAGUUAAAAAGCUCGUAGUUGAAUUUCGGGGUCAGCAGGUUGGUCGUGCCAUUGGUAUGCACUGGCUUCGCUGAUUCCUCCUUUCUGAAGAACUGUAAUGUCAUUAAUCUGGUGUUGCAGGGAAACAGGACUGUUACUUUGAAAAAAUUAGAGUGUUUAAAGCAAGCUAACGCUUGAAUACAUUAGCAUGGAAUAAUGAAAUAGGGCGUUUGAUCCUAUUUUGUUGGUUUCUAGGAUUGACGUAAUGAUUAAUAGGGAUAGUUGGGGGCAUUAGUAUUCAAUUGUCAGAGGUGAAAUUCUUGGAUUUAUUGAAGACUAACUACUGCGAAAGCAUUUGCCAAGGAUGUUUUCAUUAAUCAAGAACGAAAGUUAGGGGAUCGAAGACGAUCAGAUACCGUCGUAGUCUUAACCAUAAACUAUGCCGACUAGGGAUCGGAUGAUGUUAAUUUUUUAAUGACUCAUUCGGCGCCUUACG
This 500-nucleotide ribosomal RNA is filed under the name uncultured Glomeromycotina. RNAcentral's name for it is "partial small subunit ribosomal RNA". It matches the Rfam family "Eukaryotic small subunit ribosomal RNA", at positions 591 to 1092 of the family's 1831-position model. Lineage: Eukaryota; Fungi; Glomeromycota. The record is from RNAcentral.